GUUUGACCAUGCAAAUGUUGUGAAUAUUUGAUGUGGCCCAGAAAUCUAUAUGCGCUAAAUCCGAAUUAAUACCAUGGUACUAUGCGUGCACUGUCCAUUUUGUCCAUUUGAUGUAUGAGCAUAAAAUCUCUCAAACAUAUGAUCUUUUAGGCAAUGAAGGGGGCAUUCUUUGGCCCUUUUUCAAUGCUUUCAGGUUUUCUUCUUCUUCAUUAUUAUUAUUAUACCUCAUGCUGCUGGCUGGCAAUGAAGGGGUUCCCUUUUUUUGCUUCCUUGAUUUCCCCGUAGGACCUGCUCCGAUCCACUGGGAUUGCAGGUC
Molecule: long non-coding RNA, 316 nt
Filed under: Phoenix dactylifera (date palm)
Lineage: Eukaryota; Viridiplantae; Streptophyta; Magnoliopsida; Arecales; Arecaceae
Description: long non-coding RNA (PDAC_LNC003476)
Source: RNAcentral